CCUACGGGAGGCAGCAGUGGGGAAUAUUGCGCAAUGGGCGAAAGCCUGACGCAGCGACGCCGCGUGAGUGAUGAAGGUCUUCGGAUCGUAAACCUCUGUCAGCAGGGAAGAACGGUCACUGUGCUAAUCAGCAGUGAAUUGACGGUACCUGCAAAGGAAGCACCGGCUAACUCCGUGCCAGCAGCCGCGGUAAUACGGAGGGUGCGAGCGUUAAUCGGAAUUACUGGGCGUAAAGCGCUCGUAGGCGGUAGGUCAAGUCACGGGUGAAAUCCCCGGGCUCAACGUGGGAACUGCCUUUGAAACUGGCAAACUGGAGUGUGGUAGAGGAUAGUGGAAUUCCAGGUGUAGGGGUGAAAUGCGUAGAUAUCUGGAGGAACAUCAGUGGCGAAGGCGACUAUCUGGAACAUAACUGACGCUGAGGAGCGAAAGCGUGGGUAGCAAACAGGAUUAGAUACCCUUGUAGUC
Molecule: ribosomal RNA, 465 nt
Filed under: uncultured bacterium
Lineage: Bacteria
Description: partial 16S ribosomal RNA
Rfam family: Bacterial small subunit ribosomal RNA
Source: RNAcentral